CCUGGGCUGACUCACACGUGUAGAAACCACAUUUAUGUAACAGAGUUGUUUGUUUUUCUUACACUGUUGCACUCCAAGUUCAAUUUUUAUUUUUUUUUUUCUCAUUUAUCUGCAGGCUUGUGUCUUCCAGCAGAGUUUUCAGUAUGGUUGGUGCAUAUGGGUAAAAAGGAGGGGUUCUGCUGAUCAGUUUCCAAAUGGAAUUUUACAACCUUCUUUGGCAAGAGAAGACAACCACGUGCUGAAACCAGUUCAGGGCAGAUUAGGUACAUUGAGCCAUCCCCAGUGUGAGCUUCCAGUUAAAUCUGAUUUAAGAGGAUUGCCACAAUGACCUGACUAAGCAGAGGUAAGUGCAUUCCCCAGUGUGGUUUGGGAAUUCAACACACAUGGGAUAAAAUU
Molecule: long non-coding RNA, 396 nt
Filed under: Parus major (Great Tit)
Lineage: Eukaryota; Metazoa; Chordata; Aves; Passeriformes; Paridae
Description: lncRNA (ENSPMJG00000011028.1)
Source: RNAcentral